This 415-nucleotide RNase P RNA is filed under the name Candidatus Wildermuthbacteria bacterium GWA2_46_15. Its description in RNAcentral is "RNase P RNA component class A". It matches the Rfam family "Bacterial RNase P class A". From Rfam's summary of the family: Ribonuclease P (RNase P) is a ubiquitous endoribonuclease, found in archaea, bacteria and eukarya as well as chloroplasts and mitochondria. Lineage: Bacteria; Candidatus Wildermuthiibacteriota. The record is from RNAcentral.
CCAGCCAGUCGGGUAACCGCUCGGUUGGGUUAAUCCCCAACCGGGAGGAAAGUCCGAACACCCGCCCUUAUCGGGCAGCAGGGUAGCGGGUAACGCCCGCACGCGGUAACGCGAGAGUUGCGAGCAGAGACGUUCCGAAGCGAAAGCUGAGGAACGCCCCGUGGACGCGAAAGCGUCUUUGCGGGGCGAGUCUCGAAAGUAAUUUCGAGAAUGAAACGGCUAAACACUUACCUGGGUGCAAGAACAAAGCUCGUCGGAAUUUCCCCGCGGAAAAUCCUGAGGAGUUAAAAGUAGUUCGCUAUUGCCCUGAGUUUAUCGAAGGGCUAGAGCCUGAGAGUAAUCGAAGGCCCAGAGAAAUGGUUACCAUCCCGCUUACAGCGGGAUACAGAAUUCGGCUUAUAGACUGACUGGAAAC